RNAcentral lists this ribosomal RNA (491 nucleotides) under uncultured bacterium. RNAcentral's name for it is "partial 16S ribosomal RNA". It matches the Rfam family "Bacterial small subunit ribosomal RNA", at positions 29 to 506 of the family's 1533-position model. The record is from RNAcentral.
AGUGAACGCUGGCGGUAGGCCUAACACAUGCAAGUCGAACGGCAGCACAGUAAGAGCUUGCUCUUACGGGUGGCGAGUGGCGGACGGGUGAGGAAUACAUCGGAAUCUACUUUUUCGUGGGGGAUAACGUAGGGAAACUUACGCUAAUACCGCAUACGACCUACGGGUGAAAGCAGGGGAUCUUCGGACCUUGCGCGAUUGAAUGAGCCGAUGUCGGAUUAGCUAGUUGGCGGGGUAAAGGCCCACCAAGGCGACGAUCCGUAGCUGGUCUGAGAGGAUGAUCAGCCACACUGGAACCGAGACACGGUCCAGACUCCUACGGGAGGCAGCAGUGGGGAAUAUUGGACAAUGGGCGCAAGCCUGAUCCAGCCAUACCGCGUGGGUGAGGAAGGCCUUCGGGUUGUAAAGCCCUUUUGUUGGGAAAGAAAAGCAGCAGGUUAAUACCCCGCUGUUCUGACGGUACCCAAAGAAUAAGCACCGGCUAACUUCGU